CCUACGGGAGGCAGCAGUGAGGAAUAUUGGUCAAUGGACGAGAGUCUGAACCAGCCAAGUAGCGUGAAGGAUGACUGCCCUAUGGUUUGUAAACUUCUUUUAUAUGGGAGUAAAACAGUGUAUGUAAAUGCUCUUGUAUGUACCAUAUGAAUAAGGAAAGGCUAACCACGUGCCAGCAGCCGCGGUAAUACGGAGGAUCGGAGCGUUAUCUGGUUUUAUUGGGUUUAAAGGGAGCGUAGGUGGAUUGUUAAGUCAGUUGUGAAAGUUUGCGGCUCAACCGUAAAAUUGCAGUUGAAACUGGCAGUCUUGAGUACAGUAGAGGAGGGCGGAACUCGAGGUGUAGCGGUGAAAUGCUUAGAUAUAACGAAGAACUCCGAUUGCGAAGGCAGCUUACUAAACUGCAACUGACAUUGAUGCUCGAAAGUGUGGGUAUCAAACAGGAUUAGAUACCCCUGUAGUC
Molecule: ribosomal RNA, 460 nt
Filed under: uncultured bacterium
Lineage: Bacteria
Description: partial 16S ribosomal RNA
Rfam family: Bacterial small subunit ribosomal RNA
Source: RNAcentral